RNAcentral lists this transfer RNA (116 nucleotides) under Deltaproteobacteria bacterium. RNAcentral describes it as "tRNA-Arg". Lineage: Bacteria; Pseudomonadati; Myxococcota; Myxococcia. The record is from RNAcentral.
GCGUCCGUCAUGCCGUGCGAAAUUGACAAAUUAAAGCCUAGACUUUAUAUAAAUUGCAUGGACAUGAAAGACUACGAACCUGUAGGUCGGGUGUUCGAAUCACUUCGGGCGCGCCA